RNAcentral lists this transfer RNA (79 nucleotides) under Mahella australiensis 50-1 BON. Its description in RNAcentral is "tRNA-Und (NNN) (tRNA-Und-NNN-1-1)". It matches the Rfam family "transfer-messenger RNA". From Rfam's summary of the family: Bacterial tmRNA, also known as 10Sa RNA or SsrA, is named for its dual tRNA and mRNA-like properties. Lineage: Bacteria; Bacillati; Bacillota; Clostridia; Mahellales; Mahellaceae. The record is from Rfam by way of RNAcentral.
GGGGCUGGAAGGUUUCGACCGGGUGAAAAGCCGAUGUGCACAACCCGGAACCGGGGUUCGAUUCCCCGCAGCUCCACCA